UAAGCCAUUAAGAACAUCCUUAGGAUAUUCUCAGGAUCGACAGGAUGUUCUGUAAACAUUAUAUAAGUUUAUUUUUAUAUAUUGAAUUUUUUAAUCGCAACGUGGUUCAAUUACGGAAUAUACAUUAAAUUAGAAUCAGCAUAUAGUAUAUCACUUUAACCGGAUAGUAGAACCAAUUUGAUAGAGAAUAGUAUGCCUAAUAUAUACGGAGACUCCUCCUACAUUCUAAGUGUAGGAAAACUCACCCUGCAUACGAUGUCCGUAGGAUAAUGAAUAUGCGGACAUUUGCACCGAGACCUUAUCAGGACAUCCAUAGGACUUUCGGAAUAUCCUCUUAUAUCCAUUAAUGAUUAUGCCAAGACUCAUAAAUAUGUAUUCGAAGAGAUAUAUCCCGAGGUUAUCAGGACAGUUUUGGGACGUUCAUGAUAUAAUAAUUGGGAUACUCCGAGGACGUCAUGUGGUGUCUGGAAUAUAUGUAAUUCUAAUGAAAACACGCACUUGUGUGCACAUGUUUUUGGAAGGUCAAAUAUUUUCGAUAAAUUGAUAUGGAUUGAUUAUGAUAUGAGGGCGCGAGACAUUUGCAAUUUGUCGAUGUAUAACAUACUUGUGUCAUAAUUCUGUAUGCAUUGCAUACUCUUAAUUGUCAACUAUAUUUUGUGAAAAUAGCAUCUGAGUAAUUGUAAAACUUAAAAAGAUAUACGUGUAGUCCUUUGAAAUGAAGACUAUCUCGUGUUUAUCAUUGAGGAUUCAAGAUGGUCGUUGUAAGUUCCCAGUUCCUUUAAAGUAUAAAUAAAUCAAAUAUAAAAGAUGA
Long non-coding RNA from Cephus cinctus (wheat stem sawfly), 811 nucleotides. RefSeq lists it as uncharacterized. The record is from RefSeq and is a predicted model, not a curated record. The transcript is spliced from 2 exons. NCBI's taxonomy places the organism in Eukaryota, Metazoa, Arthropoda, Insecta, Hymenoptera, Cephidae.